Molecule: long non-coding RNA, 503 nt
Filed under: Homo sapiens (human)
Lineage: Eukaryota; Metazoa; Chordata; Mammalia; Primates; Hominidae
Description: HSALNT0176188
Source: RNAcentral
CUUUGAUAUUCAUCUCUGGCAUCUUGAACUUAGGCCCUUUCAACUUUCCCUCUGGUCCUUCAAUGUUAACAUCAGGGCCUUCAAUGUCCACCUUGGGUCCUGAGAUGUCAACGUCAGCCUUAGGCAAGUUGACGUCUACUUCAGGGCCCUCUGCUUUGAAGCCAGGCAUGCUGAACUUGGGCAUUUUCAUCUUGGGCAUCUUCAGGUGCCAGUCUGGGCCAUGAACAUCCACAUCUGGGGCAUCAAUGUCCACUUUGGGCCCUCUGAUGUCAACAUCUGGCACUUUCAUUUCACCUUCUACCUUGGGAACAGACACAUCCAUAUCCCCUUUGACUUUGGGGCCUUUCAAGUGUAAGUCCACAUCAGGCAUGGAGAUCUUGGGGGCCUUGAAGUGCAUCUCAGGCAUCUUAAACUUGGGGCCCUUCAGCUUUCCUUCCGGGCCCUCAAGGCUCACAUCUGGGACUUCAACAUCCACCUUGGGUCCUGAGACAUCAAUGUCAGCC